AGAGACAUGUUUCUAAGAAUUUAAGUCCUUUGUAAUAUGGAAAAUUUUCGAUAUUGUUAAAUGACAAUUGACUGAGGCCAGAGUUGGUUCAUUAUAGCAGAUGAUGAUGAUGCAUCUUGGCUUUCGUUCAAAAAAAAAUGAUGCAUCUUGGCAAAUUUAAUUUUGACCUUUCUAUAUACCAGGAACUUGAUGAUGUCAUUGAAGAGCUUGAGAAGAUAGCAGUUGUUCAUCUACUGCAGAACAGGUC
RNAcentral lists this long non-coding RNA (247 nucleotides) under Zea mays. RNAcentral's name for it is "long non-coding RNA (ZMAY_LNC001125)". Lineage: Eukaryota; Viridiplantae; Streptophyta; Magnoliopsida; Poales; Poaceae. The record is from RNAcentral.